GUGCUCACUUCAGCAGCAAAUACACUAAAAUUGGAAGGAUACAGAGAAAUUAGGAUGGCUCCUGCACAAGGAUGAUAUGCAAAUUUAUAGUGUACCAUAUCUUU
Small nuclear RNA from Cricetulus griseus (Chinese hamster), 104 nucleotides. The record is from Ensembl. NCBI's taxonomy places the organism in Eukaryota, Metazoa, Chordata, Mammalia, Rodentia, Cricetidae.